Molecule: ribosomal RNA, 114 nt
Filed under: Acanthosepion pharaonis
Lineage: Eukaryota; Metazoa; Mollusca; Cephalopoda; Sepiida; Sepiidae
Source: RNAcentral
AGCGACCACAUCAUAUUGAAACACCAGUUCACGUAUGAUCACCAGAGUUAAGCAACAUUGAGUCUAUUCAGUACCUAGAUGGGUUUACCACUUGGGAAUACCAGCUGCUGUAAG